RNAcentral lists this long non-coding RNA (625 nucleotides) under Vitis vinifera (wine grape). Its description in RNAcentral is "long non-coding RNA (VVIN_LNC000184)". Lineage: Eukaryota; Viridiplantae; Streptophyta; Magnoliopsida; Vitales; Vitaceae. The record is from RNAcentral.
GAAACACCAAACACCCUUUAACCCAAAUAGUUUCCUUCUUCCUAUGUUCAUGUAUAGAUUAAAUAAGAAAUUGUAAUACAUAUUCUCCAUAAUUUAUGUUUCCAAGUAACUAUUUUCAGGAUGCAUACCAUAACGCGUGACUACCUUCCAAACUAGAUGUGGGCACCAAUAAGGUUGCACACGAAAAUAUCUAUAAAAAAAAUCGCUUAAAUUCAUCAAUGGCUCUAUAUCCUUCAAACUCAACACUAGACUAAGUUUAACAAUUCCAUCUUCAACAAUUAACUUCCUUAUAGUAUGUGGAACUCUCAUCAUGAUCCCAACAUUAUGAGAUGUCAAAGGGACCAUCUUCCCCUUAGGUAACUCGAGUUGGGAAUAAGCAAUGUUCAUGUUUCUCAACAACCAAGAACACAAAUCUAAAUUCAACUCUUUGCAACUUAAUUGCAAUAGCCCCUUAAACCAAGUUUUCUUAUCACAUCCUUCUUCACUUUAGAGAACAAUUGUAUUCCAUAAAGGAAUCUACUCCCAGAACAAUGAGAACGUCUCAUCAUAAUAUCCCUGCAUAAAACAACCAUAAUUCAUUAUUAAAAGAAUUAAAUGUUAUAGACAUGUGAAUGUGAAUAUAAUA